UACGUAGGGGGCAAGCGUUGUCCGGAUUUAUUGGGCGUAAAGAGCGUGUAGGCGGCCAUUCAGGUCGGCUGUGAAAACUCGAGGCUCAACCUCGAGACGUCGGUUGAAACCGUUUGGCUAGAGUCCGGAAGAGGAGAGUGGAAUUCCCGGUGUAGCGGUGAAAUGCGCAGAUAUCGGGAAGAACACCCGUGGCGAAGGCGGCUCUCUGGGACGGUACUGACGCUGAGACGCGAAAGCGUGGGGAGCGAACAGG
RNAcentral lists this ribosomal RNA (253 nucleotides) under uncultured bacterium. RNAcentral's name for it is "partial 16S ribosomal RNA". It matches the Rfam family "Bacterial small subunit ribosomal RNA", at positions 524 to 776 of the family's 1533-position model. The record is from RNAcentral.